CUCCCAGUUUGUGACGGGCAUGUUCAAGUCUUCAGCAGAAAACUGUAAGCAGGCUCCAGAGCUCUUUUUCUUCAUCAGUGGAGUGUUGCGCAGUGAGCGUGCAUAGAGGCAGUUUAGCACCUUUCCUUUUUUCUUUUGUGGGAAAAAAACCCUCCUUACUGUUUCCAGAUCUUUGUGAAGCCCUCGCUCUUCGACAACUCUUCCUCUGACAGAAAUCCUACCCAGCUGAAGCUAGUCUAAAGGGACGUUUUCUUCUUUUCCCCUUCUGAAUUACAGCACACUGGAACAUUAAGGAGUUUAAAAAUCCAACUAUAAACACUGUCAUGAAAGAGUAAGACUUUUUUGUGAAGGUCUUCUUCUUUUCUUUUAACUAAUCACAACCAAGUUUUUUUUUGUUUUUUUUAAAUAACAAACACCAGAAAAAGAAAAACAAUGAAUCAGGGCGCCUGGAACGUGUUUGACACAAACACGUCGCCUGUUGUGACUUCUGGCGAACAGAGCUGAAUUAUCAGGGGGCUGAUUCUCCGUCGGCUCUCCACCAGUCAGAUCACACAUCUCCUCUCCCCUGAUACUGGACACAUGGAACGGGUCCGUCCCUCUCCUCUGUGGCUGUAGACUCACUCAUCUUCUCCUGGAUAUCUGAAGCUGACAUCUUGGUUUUAGAUUUAUUUAUUUCACACUCAGUUUUCUGUUUAUCUUUUGCCCUGUCCAACACGGAGCUCGCAGAGGAUUUCAAACCGGCAGCGGCUUCUGUGCGUUUCCUCUCCUGUUUGUUCGCCCCCGAGAGGCCCUGAUCUCCGGGCGAUGGCGGCCCUGACAAAGAGAGGCCAUGGCAACUUUCCCCAGAGGAGAGCCGCCCCGUUGCCACGGGGAGUCGGGUGCAGAGAGCCGCCGACACCAGAGACGGGUCCGCGUCUGGCGACAGCGGCGGAGGAACCGGUCCCAGCGAUGGAAAAUUUCACCGUUUCUGGAUUGGGCCAGUUGGAAAACUGGUCCAGGACAGAAAAAAAUCGAGCAUCUUCUUCUGGGGAACUGGAAACUCAGGCUUACAAAAGUGUCAAAGAUUUACUGAAGACGAUGAGGAUUCAUCCAGAAGCCCAGAGGAUUCUGGGUAAUUCCGCAAUUGCUGUUGUAAGUCUGGAGCGCCUGAACUUCCAGCGUGUAUCGUCCUCAUCUCUGCAGCCAGUGGUGUCUCUGGUCCGACUGCCUCUUCAAGCAGAUGUAGUUUCUCUAAACCGUCCUCAACAGGUCCGCAAGUUUGCAUAUUUUAUUUGUCUGAGACAAAGAUAAGUAUGACGGUGGAUUAGGGCCAUCGGAGAACAAAAAAAGGCAGUAGAUCUCCAUCAAAGAGCCUUGACGUUUUGAGAUUAAUCCAAGACAUUUGCUAGAAAAGACGGGCAUUUCUGAGCUUGAGAAGUUGAAAAUUUACCAGAAAAAGACUAAAUUGUUUUUAGAUUUAUCUCAGAAAAUUUCUAAAAGAAAUUGGAA
Long non-coding RNA from Xiphophorus hellerii (green swordtail), 1488 nucleotides. RefSeq lists it as uncharacterized. The record is from RefSeq and is a predicted model, not a curated record. NCBI's taxonomy places the organism in Eukaryota, Metazoa, Chordata, Actinopteri, Cyprinodontiformes, Poeciliidae. The transcript has 4 exons.